CAAUACACCUUCUAACGUGUUACGGAGGUCCUCCCAUAGAGCUGAUAUAACUGCUGGCUGUAGUCCACAAGCAUUUGAAUAACCCUCUAAUGUAUUUCCGGCUAAGCUAGCUACAGCUAGGAGUUCGGUUCGUAGCGUAGCAAUCCUACCAGCUGCAGCUGCAGGUAGGGUAAAUUCCGGGUUAUUCAUAGCCUGAAAGAUAUUAUACAAGAAUUAAUGUUUUUAUCUAUUUAUAUAAAAUAGUAUAAACCAUAAAUCAGCUGGUUAGUAAAAUUUAUUACAGUAGUAUAUAAUAAAUCUCUCUCAAGUUGGAGGUAAACAAUAGUUAAAUUUUGUGUGGAAAGUUUAGUGUAAACAUAUUAAUUUAUUUAUACUUAAUUUCUCUUUAAAGGAUACCUACCCUUUGAAUUAACCUCCUGCGAAAGGUUUCAAGGCGAGCGCUCUGCCGGCAGCUGCGACAUUCACGUGUUUCAGGUUGUAUAUGUUGGGGAGAUUGUGAUGGACCGGCUAAUUCAUCAGCUGUUGGCCGCUGUCUAGCAACAUCAGCUGGAGUAUUCACUGUUGAAGGUGUUUGGGAUAUAGCUGAAGUUGAAGGUUGUACUCGUCUGGAAGGUUGGGAUGGUCCAGCUAAUUCAUCAGCUGUUGCUGUCUGCUGUCUAGCAACACCAGCUGGGGUAUUCACUGUUGAAGGUGUCUGGGAUAUAGCUGAAGUUGAAGGUUGUACUCGUCUGGAAGGUUGGGAUGGUCCAGCUAAUUCAUCAGCUGUUGCUGUCUGCUGUCUAGCAACACCAGCUGGGGUAUUCACUGUUGAAGGUGUCUGGGAUAUAGCUGAAG
Macrosteles quadrilineatus (aster leafhopper) is the source of this 834-nucleotide long non-coding RNA. RefSeq lists it as uncharacterized. NCBI's taxonomy places the organism in Eukaryota, Metazoa, Arthropoda, Insecta, Hemiptera, Cicadellidae. The transcript is spliced from 4 exons. The record is from RefSeq and is a predicted model, not a curated record.